AGAGUUUGAUCAUGGCUCAGGACGAACGCCGGCGGCGUGCUUAACACAUGCAAGUCGAACGAUUAAAGCUCCCUUCGGGGAGUGUAUAAAGUGGCGAACGGGUGAGUAACACGUGGGCAAUCUACCUCAAGGACUGGGAUAACUUCGGGAAACCGGAGCUAAUACCGGAUAACAACGUGGUGUCGCAUGGCACUUCGUUCAAACGGUCCGCCGCCUUGAGAUGAGCCCGCGGCCCAUUAGCUUGUUGGUGAGGUAAUGGCUCACCAAGGCUGCGAUGGGUAGCCGAGCUGAGAGGCUGACCGGCCACAUUGGGACUGAGACACGGCCCAGACUCCUAUGGGAGGCAGCAGUGGGGAAUUUUGCGCAAUGGGGGAAACCCUGACGCAGCAACGCCGCGUGCGGGACGACGGCCUUCGGGUUGUAAACCGCUGUCAGGAGGGACGAAGCGAAAGUGACGGUACCUCCAGAGGAAGCCCCGGCUAAUUACGUGCCAGCAGCCGCGGUAACACGUGAGGGGCAAGCGUUGUCCGGAUUCAUUGGGCGUAAAGAGCGCGUAGGCGGCUUGUCAAGUCAGGUGUGAAAACCGGGGGCUCAACCCGCGGACUGCACUUGAAACUGGCAGGCUUGAGUCUAGUAGAGGGAAAUGGAAUUCCUAGUGUAGCGGUGAAAUGCGCAGAUAUUAGGAAGAACACCGGUGGCGAAGGCGGUUUCCUGGGCUACGACUGACGCUGAGGCGCGAAAGCUAGGGGAGCAAACAGGAUUAGAUACCCUGGUAGUCCUAGCCGUAAACGAUGGGCACUAGGUGUAGGGGGUUAUCGACUCCCCCUGUGCCGUAGCUAACGCAUUAAGUGCCCCGCCUGGGGAGUACGGCCGCAAGGCUAAAACUCAAAGGAAUUGACGGGGGCCCGCACAAGCGGCGGAGCAUGUGGCUCAAUUCGACGCAACGCGAAGAACCUUACCGGGGUUUGACAUGUUUGGUAAAACCGUGGAAACACGGUGUGUCUUCGGACGCCUUACACAGGUGGUGCAUGGUUGUCGUCAGCUCGUGUCGUGAGAUGUUGGGUUAAGUCCCGCAACGAGCGCAACCCUUGUCCUAUGUUGCCAGCAUUUAGUUGGGGACUCAUGGGAGACUGCCAGCGUCAAGCUGGAGGAAGGUGGGGAUGACGUCAAAUCAUCAUGCCCCUUAUAUCCCGGGCUGCACACGUGCUACAAUGGCCGGUACAAUGGGCUGCGACGGGGCGACCCUGAGCGAAUCCCAUAAAACCGGUCUCAGUUCGGAUCGGAGGCUGCAACCCGCCUCCGUGAAGUCGGAGUCGCUAGUAAUCGCGAAUCAGAACGUCGCGGUGAAUACGUUCCCGGGCCUUGUACACACCGCCCGUCACACCACCCGAGUUGUCUGCACCCGAAGUCGCCGGCCUAACCCUUUUGGGAGGGAGGCGCCGAAGGUGUGGAGAGUAAGGGGGGUGAAGUCGUAACAAGGUAGCCG
RNAcentral lists this ribosomal RNA (1486 nucleotides) under uncultured Actinomycetes bacterium. RNAcentral's name for it is "SSU rRNA". It matches the Rfam family "Bacterial small subunit ribosomal RNA". Lineage: Bacteria; Bacillati; Actinomycetota; Actinomycetes. The record is from RNAcentral.